Molecule: unclassified non-coding RNA, 240 nt
Filed under: soil metagenome
Description: partial contains 5.8S ribosomal RNA, internal transcribed spacer 2, and large subunit ribosomal RNA
Source: RNAcentral
AAGACUAUAGACCUGCGGAGUACCUGCGGAAGGAUCAUUACCGAGUGAGGGCCCUCUGGGUCCAACCUCCCACCCGUGUUUAUCGUACCUUGUUGCUUCGGCGGGCCCGCCUCACGGCCGCCGGGGGGCACCUGCCCCCGGGCCCGCGCCCGCCGAAGACAUCAUUGAACUCUGUCUGAAGAUUGCAGUCUGAGUAGAUUAGCUAAAUCAGUUAAAACUUUCAACAACGGAUCUCUAGAU